ACAUAAAUGCAUGAUCCAACCACAACUUUUAGAAAGCUUUAAACUUUAUUUUCUCUUUCUCAUCUCUCUCUCUCUCCCUCACUUGUAAUGUGUUGAUUUAAUGGUUUGAAAAACAACCUGGGAAAGGAAGAAAAAGAGAAGAAAAAAAAAACUUUGAAUCUCUCUUCUUCUUCUUCUUGAUCUUCUUUUCUUUCUCUAAUUAUAAUGAAAGAAAAGAAAACCCAUGUGAGUGUGAGAUUUGAUGAUGAGAUGCCCAAACCCCAAAAUCUGUUCUCAAAAUCAAUUCCAUUUCAUCAUCUUUGAGGAAAAAAAAAGAAUUUUUUUCUUUUUUUUUUCCUUCUCUCCUCAACUGUACUUUUUUUUCUCUCAUCUAAGAAACUUUCCUUUUUGGCCACUGUUUUAUCUGCUUCAUGAUCAGAUAGAUAAGAAGAAGAACAAGCAAAAGAAAGUGAUUAAUGAAGACACAGAGAUGAAGCAAAAGAAGAAAAAAAAAGUUUACUUUUUUUUGUUUGUUUGUUUGUUUGCUUGCUUUUCUUUCUUUACCCUAAACCCUAAUUAAUAAAAACUUCCCAUAAGGGUCUGUUAGAAUUUUAUGAGAAUUUUUGCUUUUUUUGGCACUUUUCCUUAUCUGGGUUUCCAGAAUUUUUUUCUGAUUUGAUUUGACCCUUUACAAAAGGGAUUGUUAUUAUCAUUGUUUUCUAAAUGUUGAAUAAUAAUAAUAAGAAGAAGAAGAAGAAUUAAUUAAAGGUGAUUAAAAUUGAGGGGAAUGGUGUUAGUAAAAUUAGAAGUUGACAGAAGAGAGUGAGCACACAGAGGCUUUUGGUAUAAUAAUAUGCCAUUGCUCUUGUGUGCUCACUUCUCUUUCUGUCAGUUUCCCUUGCCAAUUCCUUUCCCUUUUCUAAAAAAUUCUUUACCCUUUUUUUAUAUAUUUUGAUGUAAAGUUUAAUUCUUCUUUUGUUUUUAUGAUUAUAUUGUAUUUUUUCUAAAGGAUUUUGUUCUGUAAUUUCACUUUCUCAGUUCCAGGUAAUUUUCUUUCUUCUCUCUCUCUCUCUCUCUCUCAUAUUUUCUUCAAGUAUUAUAGUUCAUGGGAUAAUAAAAUUGAGAUGGGUUUUCAUAUCUUGUGUUGUAAAAGGGUUUUUCAUCUUUAUUUUCAUAUAUCAUUUGGAAUUCUCUACUAAAGAAAAAGAAAAAGGGGGUUUUCUUUUUCCCCUUUGUUAUUUCCAUGGAUUGAUUGAGUUUUAUUCUUUAUUUGUAGAUUUGACUCAUGAAUUUGCCAUCUUUCUUCUUCCAUUAUUGUUCUUUUUGAGCUCUGAAACAGAAAUCAAUGGAGGAGGAUCUGCUAAAGAAAGACACAAGAUUGUUAUUAUUGUUGUUGUUAUCAUUAGAUUUUUUUAUCAACGAGGGAAAAAAUGGUAAUAAUUUUGAUUUUGUUUGAAGAUCUUUGUGUCCUUCAGUUUUAAGAUCACUCGUACGUCAAAUGCAGUGAUAAAAGUUAAUAUAUUGUUUGAUUCUUUUUCUAUUUUACUUAACUUUGAAAUUCAAUUAUUACUUCAUUGAAUAUAUAAUAAUGUCCAUCUUUCUUUGUUUACUUGUUUAUCAUUUUCGUUUUAAUUAUUUUCAUAUAUCAAUAAAUCAUAUGGUUGGUUGCAUUCAGCUCGACUAACUAUAAGUUAUCUAACCCUAAAGAUUAUGGACACGUCUCGAUUAACUUUUUAACUAUUUAAAGUACUACUUAUUUUCUUUCAAUUAGAAGUCAAUCCAAGUCGAACCUAUAUUAUUAGUCAUUGUAAUUAGGACAAGCACUUAGGGAGCAUAUAGUUACUAUUGUAGCUACCAGAGAGGUUGGCGUUUGUGGUAUAGACUACACUUGGUUACAUUACACUCUUGGAUAUGUGAUGUCUUUCCUGUCAAUGAAAAACAAUGAAUGACAUUAUUUCAUUCUCUAGAUGAAAAAAUAUGAAGGAAAAGAUUGAAAAUUCAUGUAACAAAUUGUUGAAUGUUUUUCUUUUUAACAAUGUUUAAGAUAAAACAUCUAAGUUAUUUGCAAGACAUUAGGUUGUUGCAGAUUUUACAUCAAAUUCAUGCAUUUGCCUCGAUAUUUUAUAGGAGUGGAGAGUUGAUUUUUUUUUUUACUAAAUCACUAUUAAUCCGGCUAUGCAUGGUUUAGUAAAUAUCUUAGUCAAGUAGUAAAUUUCAGUCGAUUGGUUUAACUAGUCUUUGAAAUAUUUUUUUAUGUUUUUCUAAACCAACAUCCAACUGGUUUUGAUUUGGUUAGUCGACUUGGUUUUUUGGUCUAUCUAUCAUGCUCAAUCUUGUAUAUUUAUUUGAUGGGUGAUAUCACUCUCAAAAUGUUUUUUUAUAUCUAUUCACUCUUUCUUUCUUUUUUUUGGUUAGUUACUGCUUUUGAAUGGAACAAUAUAUAUAUAUUUGACCUGUUGUGCCAAGAAGAUGUUGUGUGAAAGUUGGGUUCUUCAGUGGUUGAUGAUUUUGUAACAUAUCUUGUUUAUUUCAAGAUGCUAAUUAAUUUUCUAAUGUAUUUGUCAGUUAUGACAGAAUGCAACUAAUCAAUAUCUUCUAUACUUCUAUACAUUAAUGUUUUUAUAUAAUUACACAUGUUUUUGUUCCCUUUCAAGAAGUGUCAAUAAACUGAAAUUUUGCUACGACAAACAAUUUCUUGAUGUGUAUAUCUUAAAUUAUGAUGCAUGUUAUUGGAUUUUAGUCUAUAUAAAAUAAUAAUCAUCUCCUCGUUCUUUAUUUAUUAUUUUUAUCGUCCUUUCCUUUUGCAUCCAUUAUCUUGUUUGUAUGUUUAUGUGGCCAAAUGAUGAAAUUAUGGAAUUUUUCAAGAUGACUAAUGGUUCUAUUUGUUGGCCUUCAAAGGGAAUGAUUGAAGACCUGAACUGUAUCUUUGAGUGUGUGUUGAAUCCCUAUUUAAUGAUGAAUACUCUUAUCAUUAGUUAUAUAUAUAUACACAAAAUGUGAUCCAACAAUGAGAUAAAUACUAGAUGAGCAAACCCCCAGUAAUGGAUGGAACUCAGUUGAUCGCCUUGAACUUCCUCCCAUGUCAAUGACCUGGCUGAGGUCGAAGGAGACAGGAAUUAGCACAUCAAAUGGUAGAAUCAUACAACGAAAACACAGGUUCGACGAGUAAAAGUUAUGAGGGGGUUAAACAUCUGAUGUAAUGCAAGAGUAUUGUGUUGAGCAUUAAUCUACAAAAUGCUUGCUUUGCUUCAGGUAGAAAAAAGUUGUUGCCUGAUGCUGCCAAUGUGUUUAAUAUUAGAUUGAAACUCUUGCUCUUAACUUCAAAAAGACCAUUACUUUUUUGGACUUUCA
Long non-coding RNA from Cucumis sativus (cucumber), 3330 nucleotides. RefSeq lists it as uncharacterized. The record is from RefSeq and is a predicted model, not a curated record. NCBI's taxonomy places the organism in Eukaryota, Viridiplantae, Streptophyta, Magnoliopsida, Cucurbitales, Cucurbitaceae. The transcript has 2 exons.